This 473-nucleotide ribosomal RNA is filed under the name uncultured organism. Its description in RNAcentral is "partial 16S ribosomal RNA". It matches the Rfam family "Bacterial small subunit ribosomal RNA", at positions 334 to 798 of the family's 1533-position model. The record is from RNAcentral.
CACUCCUGCGGGAGGCAGCAGUGGGGAAUUUUGGACAAUGGGCGAAAGCCUGAUCCAGCCAUGCCGCGUGCAGGAUGAAGGCCUUCGGGUUGUAAACUGCUUUUGUACGGAACGAAACGGCCUUUUCUAAUAAAGAGGGCUAAUGACGGUACCGUAAGAAUAAGCACCGGCUAACUACGUGCCAGCAGCCGCGGUAAUACGUAGGGUGCAAGCGUUAAUCGGAAUUACUGGGCGUAAAGCGUGCGCAGGCGGUUAUGUAAGACAGUUGUGAAAUCCCCGGGCUCAACCUGGGAACUGCAUCUGUGACUGCAUAGCUAGAGUACGGUAGAGGGGGAUGGAAUUCCGCGUGUAGCAGUGAAAUGCGUAGAUAUGCGGAGGAACACCGAUGGCGAAGGCAAUCCCCUGGACCUGUACUGACGCUCAUGCACGAAAGCGUGGGGAGCAAACAGGAUUAGAUACCCUUGUAGUCCCAU